UUAAUGAGAGUUUGAUCCUGGCUCAGGACGAACGCUGGCGGCGUGCCUAAUACAUGCAAGUAGAACGCUGAGAACUGGUGCUUGCACCGGUCCAAGGAGUUGCGAACGGGUGAGUAACGCGUAGGUAACCUACCUCAUAGCGGGGGAUAACUAUUGGAAACGAUAGCUAAUACCGCAUAAAAGUGUUUAACCCAUGUUAAACAUUUAAAAGGUGCAACUGCAUCACUAUGAGAUGGACCUGCGUUGUAUUAGCUAGUUGGUGAGGUAACGGCUCACCAAGGCGACGAUACAUAGCCGACCUGAGAGGGUGAUCGGCCACACUGGGACUGAGACACGGCCCAGACUCCUACGGGAGGCAGCAGUAGGGAAUCUUCGGCAAUGGACGGAAGUCUGACCGAGCAACGCCGCGUGAGUGAAGAAGGUUUUCGGAUCGUAAAGCUCUGUUGUUAGAGAAGAAUGAUGGUGGGAGUGGAAAAUCCACCAUGUGACGGUAACUAACCAGAAAGGGACGGCUAACUACGUGCCAGCAGCCGCGGUAAUACGUAGGUCCCGAGCGUUGUCCGGAUUUAUUGGGCGUAAAGCGAGCGCAGGCGGUUCUUUAAGUCUGAAGUUAAAGGCAGUGGCUCAACCAUUGUACGCUUUGGAAACUGGAGAACUUGAGUGCAGAAGGGGAGAGUGGAAUUCCAUGUGUAGCGGUGAAAUGCGUAGA
RNAcentral lists this ribosomal RNA (709 nucleotides) under Streptococcus dysgalactiae subsp. equisimilis. RNAcentral describes it as "bacterial SSU rRNA". It matches the Rfam family "Bacterial small subunit ribosomal RNA", at positions 1 to 694 of the family's 1533-position model. Lineage: Bacteria; Bacillati; Bacillota; Bacilli; Lactobacillales; Streptococcaceae. The record is from RNAcentral.